This 491-nucleotide ribosomal RNA is filed under the name uncultured bacterium. RNAcentral describes it as "partial 16S ribosomal RNA". It matches the Rfam family "Bacterial small subunit ribosomal RNA", at positions 29 to 506 of the family's 1533-position model. The record is from RNAcentral.
AGUGAACGCUGGCGGUAGGCCUAACACAUGCAAGUCGAACGGCAGCACAGUAAGAGCCUGCUCUUACGGGUGGCGAGUGGCGGACGGGUGAGGAAUACAUCGGAAUCUACUUUUUCGUGGGGGAUAACGUAGGGAAACUUACGCUAAUACCGCAUACGACCUACGGGUGAAAGCAGGGGAUCUUCGGACCUUGCGCGAUUGAAUGAGCCGAUGUCGGAUUAGCUAGUUGGCGGGGUAAAGGCCCACCAAGGCGACGAUCCGUAGCUGGUCUGAGAGGAUGAUCAGCCACACUGGAACUGAGACACGGUCCAGACUCCUACGGGAGGCAGCAGUGGGGAAUAUUGGACAAUGGGCGCAAGCCUGAUCCAGCCAUACCGCGUGGGUGAAGAAGGCCUUCGGGUUGUAAAGCCCUUUUGUUGGGAAAGAAAAGCAGCAGGUUAAUACCCCGCUGUUCUGACGGUACCCAAAGAAUAAGCACCGGCUAACUUCGU